RNAcentral lists this ribosomal RNA (465 nucleotides) under uncultured bacterium. RNAcentral's name for it is "partial 16S ribosomal RNA". It matches the Rfam family "Bacterial small subunit ribosomal RNA", at positions 338 to 795 of the family's 1533-position model. The record is from RNAcentral.
CCUACGGGAGGCAGCAGUAGGGAAUCUUCCACAAUGGGCGAAAGCCUGAUGGAGCAACGCCGCGUGGGUGAAGAAGGUCUUCGGAUCGUAAAACCCUGUUGUUAGAGAAGAAAGUGCGUGAGAGUAACUGUUCACGUUUCGACGGUAUCUAACCAGAAAGCCACGGCUAACUACGUGCCAGCAGCCGCGGUAAUACGUAGGUGGCAAGCGUUAUCCGGAUUUAUUGGGCGUAAGGGGAACGCAGGCGGUCUUUUAAGUCUGAUGGGAAAGCCUUCGGCUUAACCGGAGUAGUGCAUUGGAAACUGGGAGACUUGAGUGCAGAAGAGGAGAGUGGAACUCCAUGUGUAGCGGUGAAAUGCGUAGAUAUAUGGAAGAACACCAGUGGCGAAAGCGGCGCUCUGGUCUGUAACUGACGCUGAGGUUCGAAAGCGUGGGUAGCAAACAGGAUUAGAUACCCCUGUAGUC